RNAcentral lists this ribosomal RNA (452 nucleotides) under uncultured Streptococcus sp. Its description in RNAcentral is "bacterial SSU rRNA". It matches the Rfam family "Bacterial small subunit ribosomal RNA", at positions 74 to 511 of the family's 1533-position model. Lineage: Bacteria; Bacillati; Bacillota; Bacilli; Lactobacillales; Streptococcaceae. The record is from RNAcentral.
AGGAGCUUGCUCUUUCCGGAUGAGUUGCGAACGGGUGAGUAACGCGUAGGUAACCUGCCUGGUAGCGGGGGAUAACUAUUGGAAACGAUAGCUAAUACCGCAUAACAGUAGAUAUUGCAUGAUAUCUGCUUGAAAGGUGCAAUUGCAUCACUACCAGAUGGACCUGCGUUGUAUUAGCUAGUUGGUGAGGUAACGGCUCACCAAGGCGACGAUACAUAGCCGACCUGAGAGGGUGAUCGGCCACACUGGGACUGAGACACGGCCCAGACUCCUACGGGAGGCAGCAGUAGGGAAUCUUCGGCAAUGGACGGAAGUCUGACCGAGCAACGCCGCGUGAGUGAAGAAGGUUUUCGGAUCGUAAAGCUCUGUUGUAAGAGAAGAACGAGUGUGAGAGUGGAAAGUUCACACUGUGACGGUAUCUUACCAGAAAGGGACGGCUAACUACGUGCCAG